Molecule: ribosomal RNA, 254 nt
Filed under: uncultured bacterium
Lineage: Bacteria
Description: partial 16S ribosomal RNA
Rfam family: Bacterial small subunit ribosomal RNA
Source: RNAcentral
UACAGAGGGUGCGAGCGUUGUCCGGAAUCACUGGGCGUAAAGGGCGCGUAGGUGGUGGCUUAAGCGUGCGGUGAAAGCUCGGGGCUCAACCCCGAGUCGGCCGUGCGAACUGGGCUCACUGGAGCAUAGUAGAGGCAGGUGGAAUUCCGGGUGUAGCGGUGGAAUGCGUAGAGAUCAGGAGGAACACCGAUGGCGAAGGCAGCUCGCUGGGACGGUACUGACGCUGAGGCGCGAAAGCGUGGGGAGCAAACAGG